UAGGGAAUCUUCCGCAAUGGACGAAAGUCUGACGGAGCAACGCCGCGUGAGUGAAGAAGGUUUUCGGAUCGUAAAACUCUGUUGUCAGAGAAGAACAGGUUGGAGAGUAACUGCUCCAGCCUUGACGGUAUCUGACCAGAAAGCCACGGCUAACUACGUGCCAGCAGCCGCGGUAAUA
This 178-nucleotide ribosomal RNA is filed under the name uncultured bacterium. RNAcentral describes it as "partial 16S ribosomal RNA". It matches the Rfam family "Bacterial small subunit ribosomal RNA", at positions 355 to 525 of the family's 1533-position model. The record is from RNAcentral.